GACGAACGCUGGCGGCGUGCUUAACACAUGCAAGUCGAGCGGUAAGGCCCUUUCGGGGGUACACGAGCGGCGAACGGGUGAGUAACACGUGGGUGACCUGCCCUCAGCUCUGGGAUAAGCCUGGGAAACCGGGUCUAAUACUGGAUAUGACUCCAUGACGCAUGUUGUGGGGUGGAAAGCCUUGUGCGGCUGAGGAUGGGCCCGCGGCCUAUCAGCUUGUUGGUGGGGUGANGGCCUACCAAGGCGACGACGGGUAGCCGGCCUGAGAGGGCGACCGGCCACACUGGGACUGAGACACGGCCCAGACUCCUACGGGAGGCAGCAGUGGGGAAUCUCGCGCAAUGGGCGAAAGCCUGACGCAGCGACGCCGCGUGA
This 375-nucleotide ribosomal RNA is filed under the name uncultured bacterium. RNAcentral's name for it is "bacterial SSU rRNA". It matches the Rfam family "Bacterial small subunit ribosomal RNA", at positions 28 to 404 of the family's 1533-position model. The record is from RNAcentral.